RNAcentral lists this ribosomal RNA (379 nucleotides) under uncultured eukaryote. Its description in RNAcentral is "partial 18S ribosomal RNA". It matches the Rfam family "Eukaryotic small subunit ribosomal RNA", at positions 592 to 976 of the family's 1831-position model. The record is from RNAcentral.
CAAUAGCGUAUAUUUAAGUUGUUGCAGUUAAAAAGCUCGUAGUUGGAUUUUGGGUCGGGGCGUCCGGUCCGCCGUUCCGGUGUGCAUUGGGCGCCCCUUCCUUUCUGCCGGGGACCGCCUGGGGCUUUAAGUAGCUCGAGGCGGGAGUCGGCGUUGUUACUUUGAAAAAAUUAGAGUGUUCAAAGCAAGCCAUCGCUCUGAAUACAUUAGCAUGGAAUAACAUGAUAGGACUCCGCUCUUAUUUUGUUGGUUUCCGAGACUGGAGUAAUGAUUAAGAGGGACAGUCGGGGGCAUCCGUAUUUCAUUGUCAGAGGUGAAAUUCUUGGAUUUAUGAAAGACGAACUUCUGCGAAAGCAUUUGCCAAGGAUGUUUUCAUUAA